UACGAAGGGGGCUAGCGUUGCUCGGAAUCACUGGGCGUAAAGGGUGCGUAGGCGGGUCUUUAAGUCAGGGGUGAAAUCCUGGAGCUCAACUCCAGAACUGCCUUUGAUACUGAAGAUCUUGAGUUCGGGAGAGGUGAGUGGAACUGCUAGUGUAGAGGUGAAAUUCGUAGGUAUUCGCAAGAACACCAGUGGCGAAGGCGGCUCACUGGCCCGAUACUGACGCUGAGGCACGAAAGCGUGGGGAGCAAACAGG
Molecule: ribosomal RNA, 253 nt
Filed under: uncultured bacterium
Lineage: Bacteria
Description: partial 16S ribosomal RNA
Rfam family: Bacterial small subunit ribosomal RNA
Source: RNAcentral